CCUACGGGGUGCAGCAGUGAGGAAUAUUGGUCAAUGGACGAGAGUCUGAACCAGCCACGUAGCGUGAAGGAUGAAUGCCCUAUGGGUUGUAAACUUCUUUUAUAUGGGAAUAAAAUGUUCCACGUGUGGGAUUUUGUAUGUACCCUAUGAAUAAGGAUCGGCUAACUCCGUGCCAGCAGCCGCGGUAAUACGGAGGAUCCGAGCGUUAUCCGGAUUUAUUGGGUUUAAAGGGAGCGUAGGUGGAUUGUUAAGUCAGUUGUGAAAGUUUGCGGCUCAACCGUAAAAUUGCAGUUGAAACUGGCAGUCUUGAGGACAGUAGAGGUGGGCGGAAUUCGUGGUGUAGCGGUGAAAUGCUUAGAUAUCACGAAGAACUCCGAUUGCGAAGGCAGUUCACUGGACUGCAACUGACACUGAGGCUCGAAAGUGUGGGUAUCAAACAGGAUUAGAUACCCUUGUAGUC
Molecule: ribosomal RNA, 460 nt
Filed under: uncultured bacterium
Lineage: Bacteria
Description: partial 16S ribosomal RNA
Rfam family: Bacterial small subunit ribosomal RNA
Source: RNAcentral